This 40-nucleotide ribosomal RNA is filed under the name Asterochloris sp. GyngeA9. RNAcentral describes it as "partial 26S ribosomal RNA". Lineage: Eukaryota; Viridiplantae; Chlorophyta; Trebouxiophyceae; Trebouxiales; Trebouxiaceae. The record is from RNAcentral.
UAGACCUGAGGUCAGGCAAGACCACCCGCUGAACUUAAGC